This 72-nucleotide transfer RNA is filed under the name Alistipes sp. RNAcentral describes it as "tRNA-Arg". It matches the Rfam family "tRNA". From Rfam's summary of the family: Transfer RNA (tRNA) molecules are approximately 80 nucleotides in length. Their secondary structure includes four short double-helical elements and three loops (D, anti-codon, and T loops). Further hydrogen bonds mediate the characteristic L-shaped molecular structure. tRNAs have two regions of fundamental functional importance: the anti-codon, which is responsible for specific mRNA codon recognition, and the 3' end, to which the tRNAs corresponding amino acid is attached (by aminoacyl-tRNA synthetases). tRNAs cope with the degeneracy of the genetic code in two manners: having more than one tRNA (with a specific anti-codon) for a particular amino acid; and 'wobble' base-pairing, i.e. permitting non-standard base-pairing at the 3rd anti-codon position. Lineage: Bacteria; Pseudomonadati; Bacteroidota; Bacteroidia; Bacteroidales; Rikenellaceae. The record is from RNAcentral.
GGCCCCAUAGUUCAAGGGAUAGAACGAGGGUUUCCUAAACCCUAAAUCCGCGUUCGAGUCGCGGUGGGGUCA